AUGCAGCAGCACUGGGGACAUAUUCCACUUCAACAGAUGAAACCUUUUCUCCCCAUUGUUAGUUACAGGUCUAUGGGAACACUCACUAACCAGGUCCUGCAUGCCCAAGUCAGCAGCAGUCUUCUCCAGGGUGCCAGACUUCCCUGCCCUUUCAUAUACAUAAAUCUGGUUAAAAGAGGAAAUAAAUGCUCCAUCUCAGAUACCACUGUGUGAUAGCUGUUGGCAUGUAUUCACCAAUCCCUGUAGAGUCUAGAUCACAUCUGAAUGAAAUGAAGAUAAAAUGAAG
RNAcentral lists this long non-coding RNA (286 nucleotides) under Cyanistes caeruleus (blue tit). Its description in RNAcentral is "lncRNA (ENSCCEG00000016747.1)". The record is from RNAcentral. Lineage: Eukaryota; Metazoa; Chordata; Aves; Passeriformes; Paridae.